Long non-coding RNA from Cephus cinctus (wheat stem sawfly), 1091 nucleotides. RefSeq lists it as uncharacterized. NCBI's taxonomy places the organism in Eukaryota, Metazoa, Arthropoda, Insecta, Hymenoptera, Cephidae. The record is from RefSeq and is a predicted model, not a curated record. The transcript is spliced from 3 exons.
CUCGACGGUCCGACGACGCCAGUCUUUGAGAGUCCAGCCCGAAAGGAUGCCCUGGCCCUGUCGACUGCUCCAGUGAACGUCAUUGCGUCUCAUUAGUGAAGGUAAAAAUAAAAUCGACUGCUAAAUCAGGAGUCAUCGUGGGAUACUGACGAGAAUCGAGGGACGUGCUCGUUUGAAUUUUCAUUCGAAUCCGAGUGACUGAUGAAAUUGUCCCAAAAUCCCAAGCGAUGAGGAAUACGUUUCAACGACAUAACGUACUACGUCAUCGAUGCGCAAACCGACGCGUCGCGACGCCACGAGGGAAUGACGACUGACAGGAGGUCACAGAUAUAGCAAGAGCGUCGACUGGUUAAUGGGUUAAACGGGCUGUUCUGAUUGGUCAAUGGCGAGGUGUACUAGCGAUGACGUAGCGCGAGUGCACUGCCCCCUGCUGCUGUGACGUGGGAUACGCGUACUAGUACACUGCAGCUACGGUUGAAACUUUCUGGAUUGGACAAUAAAUAUCUUAUACUGGCACACACGCCAGAGCCAUGUAUCACGUAUCCAUGUAUGCUCAUAUGCAACAGCAGUAAAGACAUAUGUUUAGGUAAUGGGGAGCAGGUGCUCGUUUUAUGAAAUAUCAAUAAAGCAUUUCAAUGAAAAUAAAAAAAGAGGCAAAAAAAUGACAUUUACGAUUUUUAUGAAAAUUUAUGUAAGAUACGUGCCUAGUUGAAGGGACGGUAAUAUUUUCUUUUAUAUGCAAAACAUGCAUGCGAUGUACAUUGCAAGGUCUACUGAUAAAAUACCCUAGGUUUGGAUACUCUUGUGUUACUAUUAAUUUUGAAUAAUUUUCUUCUAUCUAAUUUAACUUGGUCAGAGUAAACUUUAUCAUUGAAAUGGGCUACUUUGUACUUUUUUUUUUUUAGAACCUGUAUAUACGUAUAUGGUUGUAUUGCAAGGGUGGCUUUUAAAAGACGCUGCAAAUGCGAUCCUGGCAAAUAUGUGUUUGGCAAUCUAUCAAAAACACGAGACGCCCUUAAUUGAGGUUAAUUGAAUGUGCGGAAAGGAGGGAGCAAGAAUGUCGUUCCAGCCUGUACGGACUUCCGCGUUGA